Molecule: transfer RNA, 84 nt
Filed under: Acidimicrobiia bacterium
Lineage: Bacteria; Bacillati; Actinomycetota; Acidimicrobiia
Description: tRNA-Leu
Rfam family: tRNA
About the family: Transfer RNA (tRNA) molecules are approximately 80 nucleotides in length. Their secondary structure includes four short double-helical elements and three loops (D, anti-codon, and T loops).
Source: RNAcentral
GGGCGAGUGGCGGAAUCGGUAGACGCAGCUGGCUUAAACCCGGCAGGGCUUCGGCCCGUGGGGGUUCGACUCCCCCCUCGCCCA